CCUACGGGAGGCUGCAGUGAGGAAUAUUGGUCAAUGGACGAGAGUCUGAACCAGCCAAGUAGCGUGAAGGAUGACUGCCCUAUGGGUUGUAAACUUCUUUUAUAAAGGAAUAAAACGAGGCACGUGUGCCUUUUUGCAUGUACUUUAUGAAUAAGGAUCGGCUAACUCCGUGCCAGCAGCCGCGGUAAUACGGAGGAUCCGAGCGUUAUCCGGAUUUAUUGGGUUUAAAGGGAGCGUAGAUGGGUUGUUAAGUCAGUUGUGAAAGUUUGCGGCUCAACCGUAAAAUUGCAAUUGAUACUGGCAGUCGUGAGUACAGUUGAGGUAAGCGGAAUUCGUGGUGUAGCGGUGAAAUGCUUAGAUAUCACGAAGAACUCCGAUUGCGAAGGCAGCUUACUAAACUGCCACUGACAUUGAUGCUCGAAAGUGUGGGUAUCAAACAGGAUUAGAUACCCUUGUAGUC
RNAcentral lists this ribosomal RNA (460 nucleotides) under uncultured bacterium. RNAcentral describes it as "partial 16S ribosomal RNA". It matches the Rfam family "Bacterial small subunit ribosomal RNA", at positions 338 to 795 of the family's 1533-position model. The record is from RNAcentral.